UAGAGCCUCUGUAAUGUCUGCAGUUUGCUC
This 30-nucleotide non-coding RNA is filed under the name Rattus norvegicus (Norway rat). Lineage: Eukaryota; Metazoa; Chordata; Mammalia; Rodentia; Muridae. The record is from RNAcentral.